Molecule: long non-coding RNA, 1259 nt
Filed under: Papio anubis (olive baboon)
Lineage: Eukaryota; Metazoa; Chordata; Mammalia; Primates; Cercopithecidae
Description: lncRNA (ENSPANG00000049963.1)
Source: RNAcentral
GUCCUGGACCCUGUCUGUGUGGAUUGUCCAUGACCAGACUGGCCAUGUCUAGUGGUAUCUCCUGUCUGUCCAUGUAUGGUUCCUUGUCUCCCAUGAACGGCAGAUCCUGACUCUCCAUGUUGGGAUCCAGCUUGGCCAUGAGUAUGUCCUGAAUGUGUGUGUGAGCCCCCUGAGUGCCCUUCACUGUCACUGUACUCACUGUGGCCAGAUCCCCUUCUUCCAGUUGUCCUGGACCCUGUCUGUGUGGAUUGUCCAUGACCAGACUGGCCAUGUCUAGUGGUAUCUCCUGUCUGUCCAUGUAUGGUUCCUUGUCUCCCAUGAACGGCAGAUCCUGACUCUCCAUGUUGGGAUCCGGCUUGGCCAUGAGUAUGUCCUGAAUGUGUGUGUGAGACACCUGAGUGCCCUUCACUGUCACUGUACUCACUGUGGCCAGAUCCCCUUCUUCCAAUUGUCCUGGAACCUGUCUGUGUGGACUCUCCAUAACCAGACUGGCCAUGUCUAGUGGUAUCUCCUGUCUGUCCAUGUAUAGUUCCCUGUCUCUCAUGAACGGCAGAUCCUGACUCUCCAUGUUGGGAUCCGGCUUGGCCAUGAGUGUGUCCUGAAUGUGUGUGUGAGACCCCUGAGUGCCAUUCACUAUCACUAUACUCGCUGUGGCCAGAUCCCCUUCUUCCAGUUGUCCUGGACCCUGUCUGUGUGGUUUGUCCGUGACUAGAGUGGCCAUGUUCAGUGAUAUCUCCUGUCUGUCCAUGAGUAGUUUGUUGUCUCUCGUGAACUGUGGAUUCUGACUCUCCAUGUUGAGAUCCGGCUUGGCCAUGAGUGUGUCCUGAAUGUGUGUGUGAGACCCCUGAGUGCCCUUCACUAUCACUGUACUCACUGUGGCCAGAUCCCCUUCUUCCAGCUGUCCUGGACCCUCUCUGUGUGGAUUGUCCAUGACCAUAGUGGGCAUGUCUAGUGGUAUCUCCUGUCUGUCCAUGAGUAGUUCCCUGUCUCCCAUGACCUGAGGAUCCUGACUCUCCAUGUUGAGAUCCAGCUUGGCCGUGAGUGUGUCCUGAAUGUGUGUGUGAGAUCCCUGAGUGCCCUUCACUGUCACUGUACUCACUGUGGCCAGAUCCCCUUCUUCCAGUUGUCCUGGACCCUCUCUGUGUGGAAUGUCCAUGACCAUAGUGAGCAUGUCUAGUGGUAUCUCCUGUCUCUCCAUGAGUAGUUCCGUAUCUCUCAUGAACUAUGGAAUCUGACUCUCCAUGUUGAGAUCCGACUUG